UGGCGGCAGGCCUAACACAUGCAAGUCGAGCGGUAACAGAAAGUAGCUUGCUACUUUGCUGACGAGCGGCGGACGGGUGAGUAAUGCCUAGGGAUCUGCCCAGUCGAGGGGGAUAACAGUUGGAAACGACUGCUAAUACCGCAUACGCCCUACGGGGGAAAGGAGGGGACCUUCGGGCCUUUCGCGAUUGGAUGAACCUAGGUGGGAUUAGCUAGUUGGUGAGGUAAUGGCUCACCAAGGCGACGAUCCCUAGCUGUUCUGAGAGGAUGAUCAGCCACACUGGGACUGAGACACGGCCCAGACUCCUACGGGAGGCAGCAGUGGGGAAUAUUGCACAAUGGGGGAAACCCUGAUGCAGCCAUGCCGCGUGUGUGAAGAAGGCCUUCGGGUUGUAAAGCACUUUCAGUUGUGAGGAAAGGGUGUUGCUUAAUACGCAACAUCUGUGACGUUAGCAACAGAAGAAGGACCGGCUAACUCCGUGCCAGCAGCCGCGGUAAUAC
Molecule: ribosomal RNA, 500 nt
Filed under: marine sediment bacterium ISA-3245
Lineage: Bacteria
Description: bacterial SSU rRNA
Rfam family: Bacterial small subunit ribosomal RNA
Source: RNAcentral